GGGGAUAUAGCUCAGUGGUAAAGCACCUGCCUAGCAUGUAUGAGGCCCUGGGUUUGAUCCCCAGUACCACCA
This is a non-coding RNA of Ictidomys tridecemlineatus (thirteen-lined ground squirrel), 72 nucleotides long. The record is from Rfam. Lineage: Eukaryota; Metazoa; Chordata; Mammalia; Rodentia; Sciuridae.